CAAACACCAACAAACACCCAUUUCAGAAUGAAAGCCUCCUUUUCCUCCAUCUUCUCCUCCAUCUUGAUCAAGAGAGCUCCAUUGUUGAGAACCUCCUGAAGGGAAUCCCCCACAAUUCCCAUAAACCAAAGCACCGUACUCGUCUCCCACGGCUCUGGCAUGAACCUCCUGAAGGCUAUCAUCCCUCUCCCUCAAGCUCCAGCCCAUGUCUUCCCCGGCCACCACAUGUGCCCUAUAGCGGAUUGAAAAAAUCGUUGAUAUUCGAGGCCUCGAAGAAAGCUGGCCACCCCACCUUCCAUCCGAUCUGGGAGCCUAAGCCCAAGUUCAAUUCUGUUUGCAAUUAGAAUUAGAAUUGUAUCCUCUAGAGGCUUGCGAAGGCGGUUAAGCAAGUGGAUUUGGUCCCCAGUUCAACGGAGCAGCUUGAGGUAACGAUUACUUAACCAAAAGCAGUUAUGAUUGUGUUUGUAUUUGUAUUUGUACUCCUUAAGGGCAGAGAGAUUGUAGGAGGUAUUUGUCGGAGUCUUUCUAUUUUCAAUACUUCUGAUGUUUAUCUCUCAUCUUAGAAUUUUAUCUGGGUAGUGCAACUUAUUCAGUUUUAAGUCUCUUCUCUUAAAUAUAAAUAAAUUGGUCGAGAUGAAACAACAUCCUUUGUGCGAACAAAACUGGGAAAGAAUUUUCUUUUUCCGUCGGUCAUCUCAUGUAGAUUGAUCGGGUUUUGUAUGAUUUGGUCUGAAGGUAAUGAAAUUAUACAUGGCUUGGUUUCUGGA
Long non-coding RNA from Rosa chinensis, 767 nucleotides. RefSeq lists it as uncharacterized. The record is from RefSeq and is a predicted model, not a curated record. The transcript is spliced from 2 exons. NCBI's taxonomy places the organism in Eukaryota, Viridiplantae, Streptophyta, Magnoliopsida, Rosales, Rosaceae.